CGGGGGUGCGAGCGUUGUCCGGAAUCACUGGGCGUAAAGGACGCGUAGGUGGUCUGAUAAGGGUGUGGUGAAAGCCCGGGGCUCAACCCCGGGUCGGCCGUGCCGACUGUUAGACUAGAGUGCUGUAGGGGCAGGCGGAAUUCCGGGUGUAGCGGUGGAAUGCGUAGAGAUCCGGAGGAAGACCGGUGGCGAAGGCGGCCUGCUGGGCAGAUACUGACACUGAGGCGCGACAGCGUGGGGAGCAAACAGGAUUAGAUACCCUGGUAGUCCACGCCGUAAACGAUGGGUACUAGGUGCCUGGGGGAGCGACCCCUUGGGUGCCGGCGCUAACGCAGGAAGUACCCCGCCUGGGGAGUACGACCGCAAGGUUG
RNAcentral lists this ribosomal RNA (371 nucleotides) under uncultured organism. RNAcentral describes it as "bacterial SSU rRNA". It matches the Rfam family "Bacterial small subunit ribosomal RNA", at positions 527 to 896 of the family's 1533-position model. The record is from RNAcentral.